RNAcentral lists this ribosomal RNA (313 nucleotides) under Diderma niveum. Its description in RNAcentral is "bacterial SSU rRNA". It matches the Rfam family "Eukaryotic small subunit ribosomal RNA", at positions 80 to 344 of the family's 1831-position model. Lineage: Eukaryota; Evosea; Eumycetozoa; Physariida; Didymiaceae. The record is from RNAcentral.
UCUGAAUCUGCGUACGGCUCCGCAAACCAGUUGUAAACCAAAGCAAGCAUACUCGGGGACUGCCCUUCACGGGGUGGGCUCGGGUGAUACGGAUAACCCUGGUAAUUCUGAGGCUAAUACGAGACUAUAAUCCCUGGCGGACCGGGCAACUGGGAAGCUGGGGGGCGUGCGAUCUAUUUGCAAGACGAUACCAGGAGGGGGUGCACGCUCUGACCGCGAUAAAGACGGUUCCGGUAAACCUUCGGGCGAGCUGGUUCCGAGCGGCUCUUGCGAUGUGCUUCUGACCUAUCAACUAGAGGCAGAGUAACGGACA